GGAAGCCUAAUCUCGGGCCAAAUAGCCAUUAUUGAGGAAGGGAGCAGUUCAAAAAAAGCCAAGAAACUUGUAUGAGGCCUCAGGCCCAAACGAUCGAGGGAGAAGAAAGAGAAGCCAUCUCAGUUGCAGAAAUGGAGAAGAACGAGAAGCCACCUCAGUUGCAAAAAUGGUGAAUCCUAUUUAUAGACUUCUCCUUCCUCAUUCUGUUUUCAAUUUUGUUAGAGCAUUGUGCAAAGUUGUUAGAGUUGGUUUGGGCAACAUGAUGUUCAUCUCCAAUCCGACUCAGUUCAACCUCAUUGCUUAGCUUGUUAUGAGUUUUGUCAUUUCGUCGUGAUAUGAAGUUAUUGUGCAGGUUGUUACGUUUGCUGUUCUAUUUGGAAACAUGGUGCAAGGCUUGGAAUCUUGCUUUUGGAGUCUCAUUAUACUAUCACGUGGAGUUCGAUGCAUGGAGUUGGAGUUAUGAUCCUUGUAAUUGGUGUUGAUUUGUUUAUGUUGUAAUUUGAAAUGGUAAUUGUAUGUACAUAUUAUUUUAUGGAGAUCUAGAACAUGGUUUUGAAUACAUGAUGCAUGAUGAAUGGAUUUUGAAAUUGUAAUAUGAUUUGUGGCUUGAAAUUGAAUGUAAUGGUUAGCUCAAAUGAUUGCGGAAUAGUCUUGUAUUUGUAAUGAGAAAUUGAAUGAGUCUAUGGGAUUCAAAUGAAUAUUGUAAAGUGAAUGACAUUGAUGAAAGAAUGGAAAUGAAUUUGAAUGUUAUUUUGAAUGAUUUUAAA
Long non-coding RNA from Lathyrus oleraceus (garden pea), 767 nucleotides. RefSeq lists it as uncharacterized. NCBI's taxonomy places the organism in Eukaryota, Viridiplantae, Streptophyta, Magnoliopsida, Fabales, Fabaceae. The transcript is spliced from 3 exons. The record is from RefSeq and is a predicted model, not a curated record.